GCUUGCUUUGCUUAAACCAGCUCGGCCUUUGCUUUUUUGCAGCGGGGUAUAUAUCUUCGCUAUAUAUACAACUCCUCUCCUGCUCCGCUCUUCAAGCCCACCCAGAGCUCUGUAGAAGAGAGGGGAGGAAGGACCGAGGACCAACCGGAGCCCCACUCGGCCGCCGCCUCUCACCUCCACCGACUGCCUGCGUCCCACCGCUCCUGCUGCCGCCCGUUGCUCUCGCCAUUGAAGCCCUCGCCGCCUCCGCCCGCUUGCCCGCCCUCCCGUCGGCUGCCUUCCGGAUGAGAAGCGGCGCAACCUGGGCGGUGGAAGCGUGGUCGGACUGAGCCUUCGUGGGGGUUAGCGCCGAGAAGGAUCCUGGAGAUUAAGCGCAUGGGUUCCUUGGAGGCCCGGUACAGGCCGACCGGGGCAGCUGAGGACACAGCUAAGCGAAGGACCCAGAAAAGCAAAAGUUUCAAAGAGGUUGAGAAAUUUGAUGUUUUUGUGCUGGAGAAAAGUUCUGGUUGCAAAUUCCGGUCGUUGCAACUUUUGCUCUUCGCUAUCAUGUCUGCUGCGUUUCUAACACUCCUAUACACACCAUCUGUGUAUGAACAUCAGUUGCAGUCAAGCUCUCGGCUUGUCAAUGGGUGGAUAUGGGAUAAGAGGAGUUCUGAUCCCCGAUAUAUAUCUUCUGCCAGCAUUCAAUGGGAGGAUGUAUAUAAAAGCAUGCAAAAUCUGAAUGUUGGUGAACAAAAGCUCAGUGUUGGACUCCUGAAUUUUAACAGGACUGAGUUCAGUGCUUGGACACAUAUGCUCCCAGAAAGUGAUUUUUCAGUCAUAAGGCUAGAGCAUGCCAAUGAAAGCAUCACCUGGCAAACUCUGUAUCCUGAAUGGAUAGAUGAGGAGGAAGAAACAGAGAUACCAUCUUGUCCUUCGCUUCCAGAUCCUAGUUUUUCAAGAGCGACACACUUUGAUGUUGUUGCUGUUAAGCUUCCCUGUACUCGUGUGGCGGGUUGGUCAAGAGAUGUUGCAAGGCUGCAUCUGCAGUUGUCAGCAGCAAAAUUAGCAGCAGCCACAGCAAGAGGCAAUAGAGGAAUCCAUGUGCUGUUUGUGACUGAUUGCUUCCCAAUUCCAAACCUCUUCUCUUGCAAGGACCUAGUGAAACGUGAAGGCAAUGCUUGGAUGUACAAACCUGACGUGAAGGCUCUAAAGGAGAAGCUCAGGCUGCCUGUUGGUUCCUGUGAGCUUGCUGUUCCACUCAACGCAAAAGCACGACUCUACACGGUAGACAGACGCAGAGAAGCAUAUGCUACAAUACUGCAUUCAGCAAGUGAAUAUGUUUGCGGUGCGAUAACAGCAGCUCAAAGCAUUCGUCAAGCAGGAUCAACAAGGGACCUUGUUAUUCUUGUUGAUGACACCAUAAGCGACCACCACCGCAAGGGGCUGGAAUCUGCUGGGUGGAAGGUUAGAAUAAUACAGAGGAUCCGGAAUCCCAAAGCCGAGCGUGAUGCCUACAACGAAUGGAACUACAGCAAAUUCCGGCUGUGGCAGCUUACAGAUUAUGACAAGGUCAUUUUCAUUGAUGCUGAUCUGCUCAUCCUGAGGAACAUUGAUUUCUUGUUUGCAAUGCCGGAAAUCACCGCAACUGGGAACAAUGCAACACUCUUCAACUCUGGAGUGAUGGUCAUUGAGCCUUCAAACUGCACGUUCCAGUUACUGAUGGAGCACAUCAACGAGAUAACAUCUUACAACGGUGGUGACCAAGGGUACCUGAAUGAGAUAUUCACAUGGUGGCACCGGAUUCCAAAGCACAUGAAUUUCUUGAAGCAUUUCUGGGAGGGUGACGAGGACGAAGUGAAGGCCAAGAAGACUCGGCUGUUCGGCGCCAACCCACCGAUCCUCUACGUUCUCCACUACUUGGGGCGGAAGCCAUGGCUGUGCUUCCGGGACUACGAUUGCAACUGGAACGUUGAGAUCUUGCGGGAGUUUGCGACUGAUGUUGCGCACGCCCGCUGGUGGAAGGUGCACAACAAGAUGCCGAAGAAGCUUCAGAGCUAUUGCCUCCUGAGGUCAAGGCUGAAGGCUGGGUUGGAGUGGGAGCGGCGGCAGGCCGAGAAGGCGAACUUCACCGACGGGCAUUGGAAACGGAACAUAACCGAUCCGAGGCUGAAGACUUGCUUCGAGAAGUUCUGCUUCUGGGAGAGCAUGCUAUGGCACUGGGGCGAGAACAAGAACAACUCGACGCAGAGCAGCGCGGUGCCGGCAACACCUGCCGCGACGAGCCUGUCGAGCUCGUGAGGCCUGUUGUGUAGAUACAGCUUUGUUGAGAGUAGUAUACCAGAUACGAAACUUCUGAAGCUCCUCCAUACAUACAUAGCAACAGCUCUGUAAAGCACUCGUGUUUGUUUCUGGUCGUGUGCCACCAAGCCAUGGACGCAAUGCAAGCGUUCAAAUGCCGUGCCUCCCUGCGUCGUACUGGCACAGAGCAAGCAUCAUCAUUGCGUCCAUCGAGAGCUUUGGUUCCGUGCACUGCUGCUGUUGCGCCAAAGAACGAGACGCAUCAUUGCCCGGAUCCAUGAUCUCGUGGUGCUGUCGAGUUCCUUGGAGGUGCGGUCUUUUGCAGCUCAUCAGCCUGCUCGCUUUUCCAGCAGCGGCACACCUAAAAAGCACAGGGAUAGGCUGUAUCUGCGUGCGACCUCGCUCCGGCGGUGCCGUCGCUUCGCCUGAGACAGAGACACUGUACGUACACCUGGUUGGGUCCUUCCCUUGUCGCUCACGAUUGGAGUAGUUGGAUGUUUGCGUUGCAAGUGACUGAGAUUAGGUUUU
Zea mays is the source of this 2808-nucleotide RNA transcript. RefSeq lists it as uncharacterized. The record is from RefSeq and is marked validated. The transcript has 6 exons. NCBI's taxonomy places the organism in Eukaryota, Viridiplantae, Streptophyta, Magnoliopsida, Poales, Poaceae.